AUACGUAGAGUGCGAGCGUUGUCGGGAUUUAUGGGGGUUAAAGAGCUGUCGGGGGGUUGUUGGAGCGUGUGGGGAAUUCCCGGGGUUCAAUUCGGGGCUGGCGGGGGAACCGGCCAUACUUGAGUACCUUAGGGGGAGCCGGAAAUCCCUGGGUAGCGGUGAAAUGCGCAGAUAUCAGGAGGAACACCGGUGGCGAAGGCGGGUCUCUGGGCAGUAACUGACGCUGAGGAGCGAAAGCAUGGGUAGCGAACAGGAUUAGAUACCCUGGUAGUCCAUGCCGUAAACGGUGGGCGCUAGGUGUAGGGGUCUUCCACGACUUCUGUGCCGUAGCUAACGCAUUAAGCGCCCCGCCUGGGGAGUACGGCCGCAAGGCUAAAACUCAAAGGAAUUGACGGGG
RNAcentral lists this ribosomal RNA (397 nucleotides) under uncultured bacterium. Its description in RNAcentral is "partial 16S ribosomal RNA". It matches the Rfam family "Bacterial small subunit ribosomal RNA", at positions 523 to 918 of the family's 1533-position model. The record is from RNAcentral.